Molecule: ribosomal RNA, 249 nt
Filed under: uncultured bacterium
Lineage: Bacteria
Description: partial 16S ribosomal RNA
Rfam family: Bacterial small subunit ribosomal RNA
Source: RNAcentral
AUACGAAGGGGGCUAGCGUUGCUCGGAAUGACUGGGCGUAAAGGGCGCGUAGGCGGUUUGGACAGUCAGAUGUCGAAAUCCCCGGGCUUAACCUGGGAACUGCAUUUGAUACGUCCAGACUAGAGUUCGAGAGAGGGUUGUGGAAUUCCCAGUGUAGAGGUGAAAUUCGUAGAUAUUGGGAAGAACACCGGUGGCGAAGGCGGCAACCUGGCUCGGUACUGACGCUGAGGCGCGAAAGCGUGGGGAGGC